This 468-nucleotide ribosomal RNA is filed under the name uncultured bacterium. Its description in RNAcentral is "partial 16S ribosomal RNA". It matches the Rfam family "Bacterial small subunit ribosomal RNA", at positions 28 to 507 of the family's 1533-position model. The record is from RNAcentral.
GAUGAACGCUGGCGGCGUGCCUAACACAUGCAAGUCGAACGGAAAGGCCCUGCUUUUGCGGGGCGCUCGAGUGGCGAACGGGUGAGUAACACGUGAGUAUCCUGCCCCUGUCUUUGGGAUAUCUUCAGGAAACUGGGGCUAAUACCGGAUAGGAGCUCCUGCAGCACGUGGGGGGUUGGAAAGUUUCGGCGGUUGUGGAUCGACUGGCGGCUUAUGAGCUUGUUGGUGGGGUAGUGGCGUACCAAGGCUUCGACGGAUAGCCGGCAUGAGAGGGUGGCCAGGCACAAGACGACUGAGAUACGGAGCAGACUGGUACGGGAGGCAACAGUGGAGAGUAUGACACAACAGGGCGGAGCGUGUGGCGAAGGCGUCGCGUGCGGGAAGACGGCCUUCGAGGGGUAAACCGCUGUCGCAUGUGACGAAGCGGGAGUGACGGUAAUGGGUAAAGAAGCACCGGCUAACUACGUG